RNAcentral lists this unclassified non-coding RNA (343 nucleotides) under soil metagenome. RNAcentral describes it as "partial contains 5.8S ribosomal RNA, internal transcribed spacer 2, and large subunit ribosomal RNA". The stretch from base 1 to 120 matches the Rfam family "5.8S ribosomal RNA", at positions 35 to 154 of the family's 154-position model. The record is from RNAcentral.
GAUGAAGAACGUAGCGAAACGCGAUAAGUAAUGUGAAUUGCAGAAUCCAGUGAAUCAUCGAAUCUUUGAACGCACAUUGCGCCCGCCAGCAUUCUGGCGGGCAUGCCUGUUCGAGCGUCAUUUCAACCCUCGACCUCCCCUUGGGGAGGUCGGCGUUGGGGACCGGCAGCACACCGCCGGCCCUGAAAUGGAGUGGCGGCCCGUCCGCGGCGACCUCUGCGCAGUAAUACAGCUCGCACCGGGACCCCGACGCGGCCACGCCGUAAAACACCCAACUCCUGAACGUUGACCUCGAAUCAGGUAGGACUACCCGCUGAACUUAAGCAUAUCAAUAAGCGGAGGA